CUACGGAGGGUGCGAGCGUUAAUCGGAAUUACUGGGCGUAAAGCGUACGUAGGCGGUUUGCUAAGUCAGAUGUGAAAGCCCCGGGCUUAACCUGGGAACUGCAUUUGAUACUGGCAGACUAGAGUAUGAUAGAGGGGGGUAGAAUUCCUGGUGUAGCGGUGAAAUGCGUAGAUAUCAGGAGGAAUACCGGUGGCGAAGGCGGCCCCCUGGAUCAAUACUGACGCUGAGGUACGAAAGCGUGGGGAGCGAACAGGAUUAGAUACCCUAGUAGUCC
RNAcentral lists this ribosomal RNA (274 nucleotides) under uncultured bacterium. RNAcentral describes it as "partial 16S ribosomal RNA". It matches the Rfam family "Bacterial small subunit ribosomal RNA", at positions 523 to 796 of the family's 1533-position model. The record is from RNAcentral.